GGUAAUAUGGCUGAGAAUAAGCAUUAGACUGUAAAUCUAAAGACAGGGAUGAUAUCCCUUUUUGCCA
RNAcentral lists this transfer RNA (67 nucleotides) under Anomalurus beecrofti (Beecroft's scaly-tailed squirrel). RNAcentral's name for it is "tRNA-Tyr". It matches the Rfam family "tRNA". Rfam says of the family: Transfer RNA (tRNA) molecules are approximately 80 nucleotides in length. Their secondary structure includes four short double-helical elements and three loops (D, anti-codon, and T loops). The record is from RNAcentral. Lineage: Eukaryota; Metazoa; Chordata; Mammalia; Rodentia; Anomaluridae.